UACGAAGGUCCCGAGCGUUGUUCGGAAUCACUGGGCGUAAAGGGAGCGUAGGCGGCAUGGUAAGUCAGAUGUGAAAUCCCGGGGCUCAACCCCGGAACUGCAUCCGAUACUGCCUUGCUUGAGGGUUGGAGAGGUAGCUGGAAUUAUCGGUGUAGCAGUGAAAUGCGUGGAUAUCGAUAGGAACACUCGUGGCGAAGGCGAGCUACUGGACAACAUCUGACGCUGAGGCUCGAAGGCUAGAGGAGCAAAAGGG
Molecule: ribosomal RNA, 253 nt
Filed under: uncultured bacterium
Lineage: Bacteria
Description: partial 16S ribosomal RNA
Rfam family: Bacterial small subunit ribosomal RNA
Source: RNAcentral